Molecule: long non-coding RNA, 762 nt
Organism: Rosa chinensis
Lineage: Eukaryota; Viridiplantae; Streptophyta; Magnoliopsida; Rosales; Rosaceae
Exons: 4
Source: RefSeq, a predicted model, not a curated record
UCCUUUUUUUUUCUCCUUCACGUCUUCUUAGUUCUUCCUUCUGGUUCUCUGAUGGGUGGCUGAUUAGAUCGAGUGAAACAGUGAGAGAAAGUACCCAGAAGCUGAAGAAGGAGAAUGAGAAGGUUGGUGUUGUUUAGAGGAGCUGUGUUGUGGGUUGACUUUGCUUCCUGGAGGCAGCAAAUGUUGUUGCUCAACUCUGCAGCUCUCACUGGGGCGCAGCGAGGACAGCUGCGGUCGGUGAUGCAGGCGCAGGGGCUGUCUGGCUAGUGAGGCCGAUCAAGCAGCAAAGCAGAAGACUUGGUUUGAUUGCUGGGUUCUUCAAGCUCGAUCUUUAAGCUCCUCAAGAUCAACACUUGAGCAAUCAAAGUGAACAUAAACUGUGAUGGGAAAUAAAUUCCUUCAGAGAAUUGAAGGUGUUUACCAAGUCAAUAUUGAUGCUGAACAGCAGAGUCACAGUUUCAGGAGUCAUAGACUCUGCCACUUUGAUCAAGAAACUGCUAUGAGCUGGGACACAUUCUGCGAUCCAAAACCAGGAGCAAAAGACCAUCAAUAAUGAAGCAGACAAGGCAAGUAAAUGAAGCAAUGCAGCACCAACAACCACAAAUGAUGUAUCACAGAUAUGUCCGACAUGGAUUUCCAGUUGGAUGAUGAUGCCCUACCAUCGAUGCAUGACAACGUCAAAUUUGUUUUUUGUAAUCCAAGAUUUUGCUAUAAAUGUAAAGAACAUCUUGCUAUGAAUGUAAAGUUUUAAUAUUUUCGAUU